Molecule: non-coding RNA, 442 nt
Organism: Phalacrocorax carbo (great cormorant)
Lineage: Eukaryota; Metazoa; Chordata; Aves; Suliformes; Phalacrocoracidae
Source: RefSeq, a predicted model, not a curated record
CAGAGGCAGCACUGUCUCCAGCUGUCAUAUAGUGCUGUACGAAUGACCAAGCUGUUCCAGCUACUGCAAUCCCAUGGAAGACCAGAUGAACAGUUUCAGGGGACUGCCAUGAAAAACAUCACGGUGCAAUACUCAGUUGAAGUGGAACUGACCUAGCCUCUAUUCUGGUUCAGCUGUAAUUGACUUGCUGGCUGUCUGCUGUUACUGCAGAGUAGGACAACCCCAGAACUAUCUUUCUCUCACUGAAAUCACCAAGGAAGAAUAUUCUACAAGAAAUAAUCCAGGAGAAGGAAAGCAGUGGUCGGAACAAAAAGAAGUCUGAAGGAAGAAAACUGUAAUGAUGCUUAUUACAACCCAACAUCAUCCUUUCCAUGGACGGACUUCCUAAAGUGAGACAGGGAUCAGCCCCCACAUUGCCUGAGUCUUGACAAGUAAAAAUCUU